GCGUAAGGGCUCGCAGGCGGUUUCUUAAGUCUGAUGUGAAAGCCCCCGGCUCAACCGGGGAGGGUCAUUGGAAACUGGGGAACUUGAGUGCAGAAGAGGAGAGUGGAAUUCCACGUGUAGCGGUGAAAUGCGUAGAGAUGUGGAGGAACACCAGUGGCGAAGGCGACUCUCUGGUCUGUAACUGACGCUGAGGAGCGAAAGCGUGGGGAGCGAACAGGAUUAGAUACCCUGGUAGUCCACGCCGUAAACGAUGAGUGCUAAGUGUUAGGGGGUUUCCGCCCCUUAGUGCUGCAGCUAACGCAUUAAGCACUCCGCCUGGGGAGUACGGUCGCAAGACUGAAACUCAAAGGAAUUGACGGGGGCCCGCACAAGCGGUGGAGCAUGUGUUUUAAUUCGAAGCAACGCGAAGAACCUUACCAGGUCUUGACAUCCUCUGACAAUCCUAGAGAUAGGACGUCCCCUUCGGGGGCAGAGUGACAGGUGGUGCAUGGUUGUCGUCAGCUCGUGUCGUGAGAUGUUGGGUUAAGUCCCGCAACGAGCGCAACCCUUGAUCUUAGUUGCCAGCAUUCAGUUGGGCACUCUAAGGUGACUGCCGGUGACAAACCGGAGGAAGGUGGGGAUGACGUCAAAUCAUCAUGCCCCUUAUGACCUGGGCUACACACGUGCUACAAUGGACAGAACAAAGGGCAGCGAAACCGCGAGGUUAAGCCAAUCCCACAAAUCUGUUCUCAGUUCGGAUCGCAGUCUGCAACUCGACUGCGUGAAGCUGGAAUCGCUAGUAAUCGCGGAUCAGCAUGCCGCGGUGAAUACGUUCCCGGGCCUUGUACACACCGCCCGUCACACCACGAGAGUUUGUAACACCCGAAGUCGGUGAGGUAACCUUUUUAGGAGCCAGCCGCCGAAGGUGGGACAGAUGAUUGGGGGUGAAGUCGUAACAGGGGUAACCCGUUAA
RNAcentral lists this ribosomal RNA (952 nucleotides) under Bacillus subtilis. RNAcentral's name for it is "bacterial SSU rRNA". It matches the Rfam family "Bacterial small subunit ribosomal RNA", at positions 558 to 1533 of the family's 1533-position model. The record is from RNAcentral. Lineage: Bacteria; Bacillati; Bacillota; Bacilli; Caryophanales; Bacillaceae.